Molecule: non-coding RNA, 148 nt
Filed under: Homo sapiens (human)
Lineage: Eukaryota; Metazoa; Chordata; Mammalia; Primates; Hominidae
Source: Rfam by way of RNAcentral
GCUGGGCAUGGUGGCGCGUGCCUGUAGUCCCAGCUAUUUGGGGGGCUGAGGCAGGAGAAUCGCUUGAACCCAGGAGGUGGAGGUUGCAGUGAGCUGAGAACGUGCCACUGCACUCCAGCCUGGGCGACAGAGCGAGAUUCCGUCUCAA